GGAGAGGUGCCGGAGUGGCCGAUCGGGCCGGUUUCGAAAACCGGUGUACGGGCAACCGUACCGCGGGUUCGAAUCCCGCCCUCUCCG
RNAcentral lists this transfer RNA (87 nucleotides) under Phycisphaerae bacterium. RNAcentral's name for it is "tRNA-Ser". It matches the Rfam family "tRNA". From Rfam's summary of the family: Transfer RNA (tRNA) molecules are approximately 80 nucleotides in length. Lineage: Bacteria; Pseudomonadati; Planctomycetota; Phycisphaerae. RNAcentral also lists the same sequence under 1 other name. The record is from RNAcentral.